CCUACGGGGGGCUGCAGUGGGGAAUAUUGCACAAUGGGCGCAAGCCUGAUGCAGCCAUGCCGCGUGUGUGAAGAAGGCCUUCGGGUUGUAAAGCACUUUCAGCGGGGAGGAAGGCGUUAAGGUUAAUAACCUUGUCGAUUGACGUUACCCGCAGAAGAAGCACCGGCUUCCUCCGUGCCAGCAGCCGCGGUAAUACGGAGGGUGCAAGCGUUAAUCGGAAUUACUGGGCGUAAAGCGCACGCAGGCGGUCUGUCAAGUCGGAUGUGAAAUCCCCGGGCUCAACCUGGGAACUGCAUUCGAAACUGGCAGGCUAGAGUCUUGUAGAGAGGGGUAGAAUUCCAGGUGUAGCGGUGAAAUGCGUAGAGAUCUGGAGGAAUACCGGUGGCGAAGGCGGCCCCCUGGACAAAGACUGACGCUCAGGUGCGAAAGCGUGGGGAGCAAACAGGAUUAGAUACCCGGGUAGUC
Molecule: ribosomal RNA, 465 nt
Filed under: uncultured Klebsiella sp.
Lineage: Bacteria; Pseudomonadati; Pseudomonadota; Gammaproteobacteria; Enterobacterales; Enterobacteriaceae
Description: bacterial SSU rRNA
Rfam family: Bacterial small subunit ribosomal RNA
Source: RNAcentral